RNAcentral lists this ribosomal RNA (670 nucleotides) under Verrucosispora sp. 423. Its description in RNAcentral is "bacterial SSU rRNA". It matches the Rfam family "Bacterial small subunit ribosomal RNA", at positions 65 to 752 of the family's 1533-position model. Lineage: Bacteria; Bacillati; Actinomycetota; Actinomycetes; Micromonosporales; Micromonosporaceae. The record is from RNAcentral.
AGCGGAAAGGCCCUUCGGGGUACUCGAGCGGCGAACGGGUGAGUAACACGUGAGCAACCUGCCCUAGGCUUUGGGAUAACCCCGGGAAACCGGGGCUAAUACCGGAUAUUCACUUGCGGACGCAUGUUUGUGGGUGGAAAGUUUUUCGGCUUGGGAUGGGCUCGCGGCCUAUCAGCUUGUUGGUGGGGUGAUGGCCUACCAAGGCGACGACGGGUAGCCGGCCUGAGAGGGCGACCGGCCACACUGGGACUGAGACACGGCCCAGACUCCUACGGGAGGCAGCAGUGGGGAAUAUUGCACAAUGGGCGGAAGCCUGAUGCAGCGACGCCGCGUGAGGGAUGACGGCCUUCGGGUUGUAAACCUCUUUCAGCAGGGACGAAGCGUAAGUGACGGUACCUGCAGAAGAAGCGCCGGCCAACUACGUGCCAGCAGCCGCGGUAAGACGUAGGGCGCGAGCGUUGUCCGGAUUUAUUGGGCGUAAAGAGCUCGUAGGCGGCUUGUCGCGUCGACUGUGAAAACCCGUGGCUCAACUGCGGGCCUGCAGUCGAUACGGGCAGGCUAGAGUUCGGUAGGGGAGACUGGAAUUCCUGGUGUAGCGGUGAAAUGCGCAGAUAUCAGGAGGAACACCGGUGGCGAAGGCGGGUCUCUGGGCCGAUACUGACGCUGAGGA